This 76-nucleotide transfer RNA is filed under the name Mycobacterium phage Bromden. RNAcentral's name for it is "tRNA-Pro". It matches the Rfam family "tRNA". From Rfam's summary of the family: Transfer RNA (tRNA) molecules are approximately 80 nucleotides in length. Their secondary structure includes four short double-helical elements and three loops (D, anti-codon, and T loops). Further hydrogen bonds mediate the characteristic L-shaped molecular structure. tRNAs have two regions of fundamental functional importance: the anti-codon, which is responsible for specific mRNA codon recognition, and the 3' end, to which the tRNAs corresponding amino acid is attached (by aminoacyl-tRNA synthetases). tRNAs cope with the degeneracy of the genetic code in two manners: having more than one tRNA (with a specific anti-codon) for a particular amino acid; and 'wobble' base-pairing, i.e. permitting non-standard base-pairing at the 3rd anti-codon position. Lineage: Duplodnaviria; Heunggongvirae; Uroviricota; Caudoviricetes; Vilmaviridae. The record is from RNAcentral.
CUGGCUGUAGUUCAAUUUGGGAGAACGCUGGCUUUGGGUGCCAGUGGUUGCAGGUUCAAAUCCUGCCAGCCAGACC